AUUCCUCCACCUUUCGUCUUUUGAUCGAGAGGCUGGGAUUUGGGGGCCUCUGCGGGCCUUUUGUGGACCCGCUCCCCUUGAAUGCAUGAGUGAAGGCCCUCGCUACCUUGGUGUGAUAACGUCUACGCCUCGGCCGGUCGAGAUGAGGCCUUCGCUUCCAACCGUCCGUCUUUGGACAAUGUGAUACGA
Molecule: unclassified non-coding RNA, 189 nt
Filed under: uncultured Corticiaceae
Lineage: Eukaryota; Fungi; Basidiomycota; Agaricomycetes; Corticiales; Corticiaceae
Description: sequence contains ITS2
Source: RNAcentral